RNAcentral lists this ribosomal RNA (550 nucleotides) under Funneliformis mosseae. RNAcentral's name for it is "SSU rRNA". It matches the Rfam family "Eukaryotic small subunit ribosomal RNA", at positions 548 to 1098 of the family's 1831-position model. Lineage: Eukaryota; Fungi; Glomeromycota; Glomeromycetes; Glomerales; Glomeraceae. The record is from RNAcentral. RNAcentral also lists the same sequence under 1 other name.
UUGGAGGGCAAGUCUGGUGCCAGCAGCCGCGGUAAUUCCAGCUCCAAUAGCGUAUAUCAAAGUUGUUGCAGUUAAAAAGCUCGUAGUUGAAUUUCGGGAUCAAUAUUUCGGUCAUGCCGUUGGUAUGCACUGUUAUCAUUGAUUUCUCACCUUUUAAAGAACCGUAAUGCCAUUAAUUUGGUGUUACGUGGAAUUAGGACUGUUACCUUGAAAAAAUUAGAGUGUUUAAAGCAGGCUCACGCUUGAAUACAUUAGCAUGGAAUAAUGAAAUAGGACAUCCGAUUCUAUUUUGUUGGUUUCUAGGAUCGAUGUAAUGAUUAAUAGGGAUAGUUGGGGGCAUUAGUAUUCAAUUGUCAGAGGUGAAAUUCUUGGAUUUAUUGAAGACUAACUACUGCGAAAGCAUUUGCCAAGGAUGUUUUCAUUAAUCAAGAACGAAAGUUAGGGGAUCGAAGACGAUCAGAUACCGUCGUAGUCUUACCCAUAAACUAUGCCGACUAGGGAUCGGAUGAUGUUAAUUUUUUAAUGACUCAUUCGGCGCCUUACGGGAAAC